RNAcentral lists this unclassified non-coding RNA (268 nucleotides) under plant metagenome. RNAcentral describes it as "partial contains small subunit ribosomal RNA, internal transcribed spacer 1, and 5.8S ribosomal RNA". The record is from RNAcentral.
UUUCCGUAGGUGAACCUGCGGAAGGAUCAUUAUCGUACAAAAUGUGAGGGGCAUGCGAGGGCUGUCGCUGACCCAAAAGGUCGUGCACGCCCGAGUGUGUCCUCUUGCAUAAUAAUCCAUCUCACCCUUUGUGCAUCACCGCGUGGGCACCCUUCGGGAUCAUCUCGGAGGGGGGCUCGCGUUUUCACACAAACCCCCCUUUUAAAAGUGUAGAAUGACCACAUUUAUGCAAUCAAUACAACUUUCAACAACGGAUCUCUUGGCUCUC